CCAGCAUCCAAAUCGCACUCCUUCCUCGUAGAGCUCCCGUUCGUCGGUAUCCGCGGGUGCCCGCGGAUUUCCGCCAUACACUGCUUCGCCCACAAAAUCCGUGAAGUAUAGGGAGUAACAUACGUGUGCCAUCCAACAGAAGAGAUUCGUCAAACAUACCUGGCGAUCGAAGAUAUUUGACUUAUAUACCUGACGAAGACUAUGUGGCAUAUAGACGAUUGACAAAAGAUACUCCUUUAGGGUUGCUCUAGGAUUUGUUUCAUUCUCGAAGCCAUAGUUGACGUGACUACCUUUGAAAACUGGCUCUUCAGAAUGAUCGAAGAGUUGCGGGUCGGGGGCAAAUUCCUUGAUUGAUAAUUCGAGAAUGAAAUAUACUAAGACUCGCAUCAAAUCAAAUUUAUAGAAAAUAUCUGAGUACCUUACCGGGUAUAGUGACAUCGAGGAGAUAAGCUCUCGCGGGACUUUGACAAGCAUCAGCGUCAAAGUCGAGUAGCACCGUGCCG
Molecule: long non-coding RNA, 503 nt
Organism: Camponotus floridanus (Florida carpenter ant)
Lineage: Eukaryota; Metazoa; Arthropoda; Insecta; Hymenoptera; Formicidae
Exons: 3
Source: RefSeq, a predicted model, not a curated record